CCUACGGGAGGCAGCAGUGAGGAAUAUUGGUCAAUGGACGAAAGUCUGAACCAGCCAUGCCGCGUGCAGGAUGACUGCUCUAUGGGUUGUAAACUGCUUUUAUACAGGAGUAAAACGAGAUACGUGUACCUUUUUGCAAGUACUUUACGAAUAAGGAUCGGCUAACUCCGUGCCAGCAGCCGCGGUAAUACGGAGGAUCCGAGCGUUAUCCGGAUUUAUUGGGUUUAAAGGGUGCGUAGGCGGGUUGUUAAGUUAGUGGUGAAAGUUCGGGGCUCAACUCUGAAAUUGCAACUGAUACUGUGAGACUAGAGUACAGUUGAGGUAGGCGGAAUGCGUGGUGUAGCGGUGAAAUGCUUAGAGAUCACGAAGAACACCGAUUGCGAAGGCAGCUUACUAAACUAUAACUGACGUUGAGGCACGAAAGCGUGGGUAGCAAACAGGAUUAGAUACCCGAGUAGUC
Molecule: ribosomal RNA, 460 nt
Filed under: uncultured bacterium
Lineage: Bacteria
Description: partial 16S ribosomal RNA
Rfam family: Bacterial small subunit ribosomal RNA
Source: RNAcentral